Molecule: ribosomal RNA, 253 nt
Filed under: uncultured bacterium
Lineage: Bacteria
Description: partial 16S ribosomal RNA
Rfam family: Bacterial small subunit ribosomal RNA
Source: RNAcentral
UACGUAGGGUGCAAGCGUUAAUCGGAAUUACUGGGCGUAAAGCGUGCGCAGGCGGCGAUGUAAGACAGAUGUGAAAUCCCCGGGCUCAACCUGGGAACUGCAUUUGAGACUGCAUCGCUGGAGUGCGGCAGAGGGGGAUGGAAUUCCGCGUGUAGCAGUGAAAUGCGUAGAUAUGCGGAGGAACACCGAUGGCGAAGGCAAUCCCCUGGGCCUGCACUGACGCUCAUGCACGAAAGCGUGGGGAGCAAACAGG